GCUUAAAACCCAGCCCACAAAAUAUUAACAUUACAAAAAUUUUUUUAACCUAACAAAUAAAACAUUUUCUACACUUAGUAAAGGAGAUUAAAAAGUGUUUAUGGAGCCUCAAAGACAGUACCGCAAGGGAUAGGUGAAAUAAUAAUGAAACAAAAUCAAGCACUACAAAGCAUAGCCUAACCCUCGUACCUUUUGCAUCAUGGUCUAACUAGUCCACCCAAGCAAAAAGUAUUUUAAGUUUGACCCCCCGAAACUAAGCGAGCUACUUCAAAACAGCCUUAAGGGCCAACCCGUCUCUGUUGCAAAAGAGUGGGAAGAUUUUUUAGUAGAGGUGACAAACCUACCGAGCUUAGAGAUAGCUGGUUACUCAAGAAAAGGAUGUAAGUCCCACCUUAAGUCUUAACAUAAACAACAAUACACCCCCAGACCUAAGAGCCAUUCAAAUAAGGUACAGCCUAUUUGAAGCAGAGUACAACCUAAACAACAGGGUAAUGAACCCCUAAAUGAUAAAGUAGGCCUAAAAGCAGCCACCUUACAAUAGCGUCAAAGCUUAAUCAUAAAAAUUCUUAAUUCCAACAGCCCAUCAAAACCCUUACUCAAUAUUGAGCGAUUCUAUACUAUUAUAGAAAACCGCAUGCUAGAACUAGUAACAAGAAGAAGACCCUCUCCAAAAUACAAGUGUAAGCCGAAACGAACAAAACACCGGCAUUUACCGCCAAUGAACCCACAGUAGUAACUAAACAAGAAAAUACUACUUUUUUUAGCGUCAACCUUACACCAGAAUAUUUCUGGAAAGAUAAAAAAAAGAGAAGGAACUCGGCAAACCAAUAACCCCGCCUGUUUACCAAAAACAUCGCCUCUUGACAAACAUAAGAGGUCCAGCCUGCCCAGUGACAAAGUUUAACGGCCGCGGUACCCUAACCGUGCGAAGGUAGCACAAUCACUUGUUCUUUAAAUAAGGACUAGUAUGAACGGCAUCACGAGGGUUAUGCUGUCUCCCCCUUUUAAUCAGUGAAACUGACCUCCCCGUGAAGAGGCGGGGAUAAAAUUAUAAGACGAGAAGACCCCAUGGAGCUUUAAACUCAGUACUAACUGCUUCACUUACAUCAUUUCAAACUAGCAGCCAUAAAAACUAGUUUUUGGUUGGGGUGACCACGGAGCAAAACAAAACCUCCACGAUGAAUGAACCAAACACUCUAAUCAUAGAGCCACAACUCAACAAAUCAACAAAUUGACAUAUUUGAUCCAAUUAAUUUUGAUCAACGAACCAAGUUACCCUGGGGAUAACAGCGCAAUCCACUUCAAGAGCCCCUAUCGACAAGUGGGUUUACGACCUCGAUGUUGGAUCAGGGUAUCCCAGUGGUGCAACCGCUACUAAAGGUUCGUUUGUUCAACGAUUA
Molecule: ribosomal RNA, 1400 nt
Filed under: Metaphrynella pollicaris (Malaysian treefrog)
Lineage: Eukaryota; Metazoa; Chordata; Amphibia; Anura; Microhylidae
Description: partial 16S ribosomal RNA
Rfam family: Bacterial large subunit ribosomal RNA
Source: RNAcentral